UCGUCCUUCUUUUCUGUGCCACUUUUGAAGCCGAAGCAGCCAAAAUGGUCAUUGGUUACAAAACUGAUACACAAUGGAAGAACAGAACAUGAAGGCCUAGAAAACAGUACGAUCUUGGAAACAAAAGUGGAGACUUUUGAGGCUCAACUUGACAGCUUUGAAAAGGGGCUGGAAGGAGGAUUUAGGAGCCUGAUUAGAUCAAGAAGCUUGCUCCUGAAUGUUUUCUCCUGCUAAUAUGGAAGUUCCAUCUCCAUUAACUGUAUAGUAUUACCGCAUUUUGUACAUGGAUAAUUUUGUACUUGUGUUAGAAAUAUAUAUUACAGAAAUUGAAUAGACUAUACUCAAAACUUCGUAUAUCUUUCUCUCUAUCUGGGUUAUCUGACUCCCUUCUGCCCCUACCUAGCUAUGUUUCAUCAAUCUGGAUAUGCAUCUCAUGGGUUACAACUUAGGAAGACAGUUGCAGGUUCCUAAAUAAGACUUUUUUAACUUGCUCGAGCUUGGAUUUUCCAACAAGAAGCCUAUAAUAAGAUGCAUUUUCUUUAAGUGUGUUUCAGUAUUUCUAAAAUUGAUCCACUAACUUAAUUUACCCCUUAUCUGGCACAAAGUUGUCUGAAAAUAACUUAAUGAGCCCCUCGUGCACAGCUAUAUAAAGUUAUAAACUACUUUUUUUACGCAUCUUCAAUUUCAUCUGGAGUAUCUUAGAAAACAACAGUUUCAGAAAUAUGUACAGUAAGUUUCCUUGUUAAUUAGGUGUGGACCUGCGGUGCGAUUAUGGAAUCUGUAAUCUACAGGGCCAACAAGCCAGACAUGUUUAGUGUCAAUCUAUUAAUGGAACACAAGCUCCUGAAAACGAGGCAGCAAUUAAGCCAUUGGGCCAUAUGCACGAGCCAAUUUACAAAACACAUGCUCUUCUUAUCUCAAAUGAUUAAAUGACCUUACUUGGGGCUUACUAUUCAUCUCAAUUUUGUCUCUCCCAAGCAAGAAAAGCAGUAAAAUCCACUGCCAUUUUUCAAAAUUCAACCACAUUCACUCAAUCAGUUCAGUUACCCCUCUAGAUCACAAAUACUUUUGGUAAAUUUGAGAUAUGCAAUAUGAAUGUUUAGCCUCCAACUUGGAAUGCUAUCCAUCCAUAUCUCUGGAUGGAGAACUACUACAAAAUGAGUGCAUUUGCCUUUGUUAUCUUCAUAAGCAGCAUUUGAAUUGUUAAAAACAUGUUAUGAAUGAAAUCCAAUAAAGGUAUAAAAUAAAUUUGAAGAACCAAUUAGGAUAUAAAUGGCAUUCACUUUGGUUUGGGGAAUGAAUUCUAGAACUUUUCUCAAAAUAGUCUUUCGAAAUGUUCAAUGUGUGAUAAUCUAGGUAAAGGAAAAAACAUUCAUGGGACUGCUUAGAAAAAAGAAGAAGAUAGAAUGGGAUUACGAGAAAGAGAACAAGUAAUACCUAACAGAGUAAAAAGUACAUACCAAUCUAGUUUUGGGUUAACCUUUUUAUCUUCUUCAUCCUUCACUGAUAUCUUUAAAAGAUCAAUUAGUAUAGAAGGCACAUGAGUUAUCUGAAACUAACCACAAUUUCCCCACAACCACUUAUUUCCAAAUUUUUGAGAGAAAACAAAUAUGAAAGUCAUCCAAGGACAAUAAGUUGGGGGCAACUUCUUAUUACUACGAGGUAGGCAAGGAAAGUCACCAUUUAUCACUCUUUUAGGCCACGCAUAUCAGAAAUUAUCGGGAUCUCUAGUUUGGGAAUGUGUGAUAUACAUCAUUGUCAUAACUUCUACGAAAACGAUCAUCAAUAACCCCCCUUCCUUAAAUCCCC
Molecule: long non-coding RNA, 1809 nt
Filed under: Capsicum annuum
Lineage: Eukaryota; Viridiplantae; Streptophyta; Magnoliopsida; Solanales; Solanaceae
Description: long non-coding RNA (CANN_LNC003604)
Source: RNAcentral